Molecule: ribosomal RNA, 510 nt
Filed under: uncultured bacterium
Lineage: Bacteria
Description: bacterial SSU rRNA
Rfam family: Bacterial small subunit ribosomal RNA
Source: RNAcentral
UCGAUCUGGCUCAGAAUGAACGCUAGCGACAGGCUUAACACAUGCAAGUCGAGGGGCAGCAUAGAAGUAGCAAUACUUGGUGGCGACCGGCGCACGGGUGAGUAACGCGUAUGCAACCUACCUAUCAGAGGGGAAUAACCCGGCGAAAGUCGGACUAAUACCGCAUAAAACAGGGGCACCGCAUGGUGAUAUUUGUUAAAGAAAUUCGCUGAUAGAUGGGCAUGCGUUCCAUUAGGUAGUUGGUGAGGUAACGGCUCACCAAGCCGACGAUGGAUAGGGAACUGAGAGGUUGGUCCCCCACACUGGUACUGAGACACGGACCAGACUCCUACGGGAGGCAGCAGUGAGGAAUAUUGGUCAAUGGGCGGGAGCCUGAACCAGCCAAGUCGCGUGAAGGAAGAAGGAUCUAUGGUUCGUAAACUUCUUUUGCAGGGGAAUAAAGUGCAGGACGUGUCCUGUUUUGUAUGUACCCUGAGAAUAAGGAUCGGCUAACUCCGUGCCAGCCGCCGC